Molecule: non-coding RNA, 54 nt
Organism: Salmo salar (Atlantic salmon)
Lineage: Eukaryota; Metazoa; Chordata; Actinopteri; Salmoniformes; Salmonidae
Source: Rfam
UUAUUUUUUGGCUGUAAGUCGCUUUGGAUAAAAGCGUCUGCUCAAUGGCAUAUC